Molecule: ribosomal RNA, 923 nt
Filed under: Mycolicibacterium fortuitum
Lineage: Bacteria; Bacillati; Actinomycetota; Actinomycetes; Mycobacteriales; Mycobacteriaceae
Description: bacterial SSU rRNA
Rfam family: Bacterial small subunit ribosomal RNA
Source: RNAcentral
UUCGGGGUACUCGAGUGGCGAACGGGUGAGUAACACGUGGGUGAUCUGCCCUGCACUUUGGGAUAAGCCUGGGAAACUGGGUCUAAUACCGAAUAUGACCACGCGCUUCAUGGUGUGUGGUGGAAAGCUUUUGCGGUGUGGGAUGGGCCCGCGGCCUAUCAGCUUGUUGGUGGGGUAAUGGCCUACCAAGGCGACGACGGGUAGCCGGCCUGAGAGGGUGACCGGCCACACUGGGACUGAGAUACGGCCCAGACUCCUACGGGAGGCAGCAGUGGGGAAUAUUGCACAAUGGGCGCAAGCCUGAUGCAGCGACGCCGCGUGAGGGAUGACGGCCUUCGGGUUGUAAACCUCUUUCAAUAGGGACGAAGCGCAAGUGACGGUACCUAUAGAAGAAGGACCGGCCAACUACGUGCCAGCAGCCGCGGUAAUACGUAGGGUCCGAGCGUUGUCCGGAAUUACUGGGCGUAAAGAGCUCGUAGGUGGUUUGUCGCGUUGUUCGUGAAAACUCACAGCUUAACUGUGGGCGUGCGGGCGAUACGGGCAGACUAGAGUACUGCAGGGGAGACUGGAAUUCCUGGUGUAGCGGUGGAAUGCGCAGAUAUCAGGAGGAACACCGGUGGCGAAGGCGGGUCUCUGGGCAGUAACUGACGCUGAGGAGCGAAAGCGUGGGGAGCGAACAGGAUUAGAUACCCUGGUAGUCCACGCCGUAAACGGUGGGUACUAGGUGUGGGUUUCCUUCCUUGGGAUCCGUGCCGUAGCUAACGCAUUAAGUACCCCGCCUGGGGAGUACGGCCGCAAGGCUAAAACUCAAAGGAAUUGACGGGGGCCCGCACAAGCGGCGGAGCAUGUGGAUUAAUUCGAUGCAACGCGAAGAACCUUACCUGGGUUUGACAUGCACAGGACGACUGCAGAGAUGUGGUUUC